CUGUUCUGAGUCUUAGUCCUAAGCUCCACCUUACGUGGGGUUCCUGGUGGGUACUGGGGUAUAGUACAUACUAAUGGACUAAUUGCUGGGAGCUAUCUCUGGGCCUCAGGUCCGGCCUCUGGAAACAGGGAUGCUAAGUCCGCUCUCAGCUUUCCGGUUGUUAACUCCAGAGCAGACCGCCUGCCACACCAGGGAAGUCAUCAAAGGGACAGAAAUAUCAUCAGGAUGGGUAACACAGCAGUUCUGCUUAAUGUAAAACUUUGCCCUCUUGGGGAGGGGGAAGAGAGAGGGAAUGGUUCCGGAGUCUCCGGAGGAAUGCUUCGGGAGGCAUCCUGGUUUCCCCGCUGGUACAGCCUUCCCGGCAGGCCCUAUUAAUAUGCACCACAGUCUUGGUCCACUGGUUACCAGGGCAGCCUGAGGCAUGGGGCAGGCACGCGCUCUGGAAAUGCUGCAGGCAGGGCUGAUGAGGCUCGGGCUGGGGGGCUCCGCUCAGGCCGGCCGCAGCCCACAGGAGCCAGAGAGGCUUUCCUGGAGCCCAGGCCUCUCCAAGAACUCUUCAAUCGUACUUCCAUAACCACGAUAACCGAAAAGGCAGCAGUGUAUUCUGGGUCAUCUGAAUGACUUCCUGAUGACCAAGUACUGCCGCCAUCUGAGUCCCAGGCUGUUUGCAUUGACCCUGGCAGACGGCACCAACCUUCCUUCUUAUGAGCCCAUAAGGGGUAGGCUCAGGAAGUGAGUAGAGGCUGUCCCAGCACCCUGUGUGGGUGGUGGGGAAUUUCAACCACACCCCAAUGGACGUGGGCCAAUUUCAAAGGAACCAUUUAGAAGGCAGCCCACAGAAGGGUUCAUCCACUCACCCGUCCCACUGCGCAGGCCCUGCAGGGACGUCACUGGGAACACCGCCGUAGGGACCUUUGAGAACCCAGCGAGAACACCAGUAAAAACCGUCCCCCCUAAAUUGACUUCUUCAGGAUUCUGGACAUUAACUAAAGGCUUGCAACAACCAGGGGGUGUUUAUUUAAGAAAAGCGAAUGGUUCUCAGCACCAGUGAGCCUUGGGGCAUCAUCACUUGCCCUCUUGCCAGACCCUGACCCCAACUCCCAGGUGCCUUGCAAAUCAGCAGCCGCAAUUGGGACAAACCAGCACUACGGCAGCCCCGGAAGGGUCAAGAGGGGGUUGGAGCUCUUUCAAAGCCCUGCAUUCAGAAAACUCAUUUGUCACAUCCAGCAGUUCCCUGGAAAACCCCCACUGCCAAGUCUUGGUUUUAUUUGACCCAACCGCUGUUUCCCAUGGUGUCUGUUAAAAACAGUCGGCAGCCAUUUAUUUGACAUUGGGGCCAACAGCAAGCUAACAAAACAGCCUAAAAAAAAAAAAAAGAAAAAGAAAGAAAGAAAAGUGUUGGAAAAGGAGGUGUCCAAGGGGCCUUUGAAAAGGCAGCAGGCUCCUGGGAGCCCAGAACACCACACGCGUGGCCUGCACCUGCUCAUGAGAAACCUCAACCAGAAGGGGCGGGGAAGGGCCGAAGGAGAAACACUCUGCACCCAGAACUCUACAUCCAACAAGGCCUUCCUGGAAAGAUGAAGAGCAACAAAACCUCCAGAGAAUUCAGGGCUGGCAGACCUGCUCGCAAGAAAUGCUGGAGGGAGUCUCAGGCUGGAACCAAGGAAACUGGAUGACUACAGAGCACCGGGAAAGGUCGCUACACAGGGCGGCUGGGAAGCAAACCAGAACAUCAGCACACCACAGGUGACUACCAACCACCUCCCAUCGGCACCUCAAGGGAAUGAACUCGUUGUCACUGAAAUCUGGAGCUGCGGCACCACGUUUGGAACACACAACACGCUCAGUCCAUCCAGCACGUCAGUCAACUGCCUGCGGAUGGGAUCAACGCACUGGGGAGCAGGCCCGGCCCGGCCUGUAGUAUCUCCAAGGCUCAAGGUUGGAUGCAAGCUCUGUUAAGGGUGCAGGUUUCCCUGCUGUGUUCAUGACACGCAGAACAGUCUCACUGUAUGUUAACUGACAUUUAAAGAAAAACUUGGAAAAAAAGGAACGUAACUAUCGGAGUGACUAGGUGAACAGCACCACAUAAAGGAAGCCCAGACCACCUCCAGACAGGGCCCGGGUCCUCCAAGGAUCACUUGGUGAGAGCUGGCUUCCGGCACGAACAUGGUGUUCAAAGUUCCCAUUUACACAGAAAUUCUUUUCAGAUGAAAAAGGCUGCCCGGGUGAAGUGGAUCCAGAUUUAACAAAGUCCCACACACGGAGGACCCAUGUAGAACACAAGGCCUAAGAAUAAACUCUGUUAAUGAGAAA
Molecule: non-coding RNA, 2313 nt
Organism: Leptonychotes weddellii (Weddell seal)
Lineage: Eukaryota; Metazoa; Chordata; Mammalia; Carnivora; Phocidae
Source: RefSeq, a predicted model, not a curated record